GCAGGCUUAACACAUGCAAGUCGAGCGCUCGCAGCAAUGCGGGAGCGGCAGACGGGUGAGUAACGCGUGGGAACAUACCCUCCGGUUCGGAAUAACUCAGGGAAACUUGAGCUAAUACCGGAUACGGCUUAGCGGCGAAAGAUUUAUCGCCGGAGGAUUGGCCCGCGUCCGAUUAGCUAGUUGGUGAGGUAAUGGCUCACCAAGGCGACGAUCGGUAGCUGGUCUGAGAGGAUGAUCAGCCACAUUGGGACUGAGACACGGCCCAAACUCCUACGGGAGGCAGCAGUGGGGAAUAUUGGACAAUGGGCGCAAGCCUGAUCCAGCCAUGCCGCGUGAGUGAUGACGGCCUUAGGGUUGUAAAGCUCUUUCGCUAGGGACGAUAAUGACGGUACCUAGAUAAGAAGCCCCGGCUAACUUCGUGCCAGCAGCCGCGGUAAUACGAAGGGGGCUAGCGUUGUUCGGAAUUACUGGGCGUAGAGCGCGUGUAGGCGGGCCUUUAAGUCGGGGGUGAAAUGCCAAGGCUCAACCUUGGAACUGCCUUUGAUACUGGAAGUCUUGAGUCCGGGAGAGGUGAGUGGAACUGCGAGUGUAGAGGUGAAAUUCGUAGAUAUUCGCAAGAACACCAGUGGCGAAGGCGGCUCACUGGCCCGGAACUGACGCUGAGACGCGAAAGCGUGGGGAGCAAACAGGAUUAGAUACCCUGGUAGUCCACGCUGUAAACGAUGGAUGCUAGCCGUCGGGGAGCUCGCUCUUCAGUGGCGCAGCUAACGCUUUUAAGCAUCCCGCCUGGGGAGUACGGUCGCAAGAUUA
This 810-nucleotide ribosomal RNA is filed under the name uncultured bacterium. Its description in RNAcentral is "bacterial SSU rRNA". It matches the Rfam family "Bacterial small subunit ribosomal RNA", at positions 42 to 896 of the family's 1533-position model. The record is from RNAcentral.